This is a non-coding RNA of Hordeum vulgare subsp. vulgare (domesticated barley), 125 nucleotides long. Lineage: Eukaryota; Viridiplantae; Streptophyta; Magnoliopsida; Poales; Poaceae. The record is from Rfam.
UACAUACUCCCUCCGUCCGGAAAUACUUGUCAUAUAAAUGGAUGUAUCUAGAUGUAUUUUAGCUCUGGAUAUAUCCAUUUUUGUACAUUUACGCGACAAGUAAUUCUGGAUGGAGGGAAUAUACA